Molecule: ribosomal RNA, 1164 nt
Filed under: Limosilactobacillus fermentum
Lineage: Bacteria; Bacillati; Bacillota; Bacilli; Lactobacillales; Lactobacillaceae
Description: bacterial SSU rRNA
Rfam family: Bacterial small subunit ribosomal RNA
Source: RNAcentral
CCUUUCUUGCGUGUGCCUAUACAUGCAGUCGAACGCGUUGGCCCAAUUGAUUGAUGGUGCUUGCACCUGAUUGAUUUUGGUCGCCAACGAGUGGCGGACGGGUGAGUAACACGUAGGUAACCUGCCCAGAAGCGGGGGACAACAUUUGGAAACAGAUGCUAAUACCGCAUAACAACGUUGUUCGCAUGAACAACGCUUAAAAGAUGGCUUCUCGCUAUCACUUCUGGAUGGACCUGCGGUGCAUUAGCUUGUUGGUGGGGUAACGGCCUACCAAGGCGAUGAUGCAUAGCCGAGUUGAGAGACUGAUCGGCCACAAUGGGACUGAGACACGGCCCAUACUCCUACGGGAGGCAGCAGUAGGGAAUCUUCCACAAUGGGCGCAAGCCUGAUGGAGCAACACCGCGUGAGUGAAGAAGGGUUUCGGCUCGUAAAGCUCUGUUGUUAAAGAAGAACACGUAUGAGAGUAACUGUUCAUACGUUGACGGUAUUUAACCAGAAAGUCACGGCUAACUACGUGCCAGCAGCCGCGGUAAUACGUAGGUGGCAAGCGUUAUCCGGAUUUAUUGGGCGUAAAGAGAGUGCAGGCGGUUUUCUAAGUCUGAUGUGAAAGCCUUCGGCUUAACCGGAGAAGUGCAUCGGAAACUGGAUAACUUGAGUGCAGAAGAGGGUAGUGGAACUCCAUGUGUAGCGGUGGAAUGCGUAGAUAUAUGGAAGAACACCAGUGGCGAAGGCGGCUACCUGGUCUGCAACUGACGCUGAGACUCGAAAGCAUGGGUAGCGAACAGGAUUAGAUACCCUGGUAGUCCAUGCCGUAAACGAUGAGUGCUAGGUGUUGGAGGGUUUCCGCCCUUCAGUGCCGGAGCUAACGCAUUAAGCACUCCGCCUGGGGAGUACGACCGCAAGGUUGAAACUCAAAGGAAUUGACGGGGGCCCGCACAAGCGGUGGAGCAUGUGGUUUAAUUCCGAAGCUACGCGAAGAACCUUUACCAGGUCUUGACAUCUUGCGCCAACCCUAGAGAUAGGGCGUUCCCUUCGGGAACGCAAUGACAGGUGGGUGCAUGGUUCGUCGGUCAGCUCGUGUCGUGAGAUGUUGGGGUCAAGUCCCCGCAACGAGCGCAACCCCUUGUUACUAGUUGCCAGCAUUUAGGUGGGGCCACUCCUAAG